Molecule: ribosomal RNA, 477 nt
Filed under: uncultured bacterium
Lineage: Bacteria
Description: partial 16S ribosomal RNA
Rfam family: Bacterial small subunit ribosomal RNA
Source: RNAcentral
GAUUAACGCUGGCGGCGUGCAUAACACAUGCAAGUCGAACGAUGAAACUUAAAUGAUUUCUUCGGAAUGAACUUAAGUGGAUUAGUGGCGGACGGGUGAGUAACGCGUGAGUAACCUGCCUUACACAAGGGGAUAGCCGUUGGAAACGACGAAUAAUACCCUAUGAAACUAUCACUUCGCAUGAAGCGAUAGUCAAAGUGUUAGCGGUGUAAGAUGGACUUGCGUCUGAUUAGCUAGUUGGUGAGAAAAAAGCCCACCAAGGCAACGAUCAGUAGCCGGCUUGAGAGAGUGUACGGCCACAUUGAGACUGAGACACGGCCCAGACUCCUACGGGAGGCAGCAGUGGGGAAUUUUGCACAAUGGGGGAAACCCUGAUGCAGCGACGCCGCGUGAUUUAGAAGGCCUUCGGGUUGUAAAAAUCUUUUGUAUAGGAAGAAAAUGACAGUACUAUACGAAUAAGGUCCGGCUAAUUACGUG